GACGAACGCUGGCGGCGUGCUUAACACAUGCAAGUCGAGCGGUAAGGCCCUUUCGGGGUACGACGAGCGGCGAACGGGUGAGUAACACGUGGGUGACCUGCCCUCAGCUCUGGGAUAAGCCUGGGAAACCGGGUCUAAUACUGGAUAUGACUCCAUGACGCAUGUUGUGGGGUGGAAAGCCUUGUGCGGCUGAGGAUGGGCCCGCGGCCUAUCAGCUUGUUGGUGGGGUGAGGCCUACCAAGGCGACGACGGGUAGCCGGCCUGAGAGGGCGACCGGCCACACUGGGACUGAGACACGGCCCAGACUCCUACGGGGAGGCAGCAGGUGGGGAAUCUUGCGCAAUGGGCGAAAGCCUGACGCAGCGACGCCGCGUGAGGGAUGACGGCCUG
RNAcentral lists this ribosomal RNA (390 nucleotides) under uncultured bacterium. RNAcentral's name for it is "bacterial SSU rRNA". It matches the Rfam family "Bacterial small subunit ribosomal RNA", at positions 28 to 418 of the family's 1533-position model. The record is from RNAcentral.